This 460-nucleotide ribosomal RNA is filed under the name uncultured Saprospiraceae bacterium. Its description in RNAcentral is "bacterial SSU rRNA". It matches the Rfam family "Bacterial small subunit ribosomal RNA", at positions 338 to 795 of the family's 1533-position model. Lineage: Bacteria; Pseudomonadati; Bacteroidota; Saprospiria; Saprospirales; Saprospiraceae. The record is from RNAcentral.
CCUACGGGGGGCUGCAGUAAGGAAUAUUGGUCAAUGCCCGCAAGGGUGAACCAGCCAUUCCGCGUGGAGGAUGAAGGCCCUAUGGGUUGUAAACUUCUUUUAGAUGGGAAGAAAAUGCUAGAUGUAUCUGGUACUGACGGUACCAUCAGAAUAAGCACCGGCUAACUCCGUGCCAGCAGCCGCGGUAAUACGGAGGGUGCGAGCGUUAUCCGGAAUUACUGGGUUUAAAGGGUGCGUAGGCGGAUGAUUAAGUCUAAGGUGAAAGUUUGUCGCUUAACGAUAAAAUUGCCUUGGAUACUGGUUAUCUUGAAUAAGGAUGAGGAUGGCGGAAUGUGGCAUGUAGCGGUGAAAUGCAUAGAUAUGCCAUAGAACACCAAUUGCGAAGGCAGCUAUCUGGUCUUUUAUUGACGCUGAGGCACGAAAGCGUGGGGAUCGAACAGGAUUAGAUACCCCUGUAGUC